AAAGGGGAUUGGAAUCCUAAGAUGAAAUUUUGCUUCUUUUGGACACUGCCAUAUGUUAGAAUGGAAGUAAGAUGAAAUUUCAAAUCACGAUUCUUUCUUAUUUAAACUCUAUUGCUAAUGAAAUUUUCAUGCUAAACGUCAUAAUGUUCUUGUAAAUAAUAUACCACAUCGAUGUUUCAGUCAACAGAACGGUUUUGAAAAAGAAUACAAAUACAUGGACGUCACGGCGGUAAGGGCGAUAGAGAUGUGAGAUAAGAAUCACAUGCAAAAGUGGCCCGCCAUUUCAUUAUAUUUUGCUUCUUUUGGACACUGCCAUAUGAAUGCUGUCUACGCAAUUUCUGUCUUUACGAUUACAAAUAAUCCCCUCUAUACUAAAGCACAAAUCAGUUGACAAAACAAAUUUUGACAAAUAGAAAAGAUUUUAGAAAAAAAAACAAUUGACUGGAAAAAAAAAACCUCUUCGAUCCCUGUUUUUUGCAAUUUUAUAUAUCAAUAUUUCAUUCAUGUUCAAAGCCACUCUACCACGAUCUCAACUCUUCUCCUAUUUAUAUAACUUUUGAUCUAAUAAUUUACUUUAUGUUUCUUUUUUUUCUUUCUUCUAUCUUCUCCAACAAAGCAACAAAUCUUUUCACCUCUCAUAAAUCUGCAAUUUUGACUUCGUGUUUCUUCGAUCCCUGGUGAUCACGGUUUGGAGUGAUAGUAUGGAGCAUAAAAUAUUAUUCUUGUGGAAUCAAAGAAGCGCAUAAGGUUUUGGCAUCACGAAGAAGAGUGGUAAAAAGAAUCUGACAAUACUAAAAGCAUGAUAUCAAGUCCUCUAAGCGCGUCCACGUCAGCUGAAAAAAUCAACCUACCAUAAAUCAUCCUUUUGCCACAUCAUCGUCGAAUCCGGUCUUUCAAGGAUCUGAAGCGUAAUUUUUUUUCCUUCUCCGACUAUCCCACUUUGUCGUCACCGAUCAAAUUAUGCACUUCAGUUACAGUAACCUACGAUUCAUCAAUCUAUUAUAAUUUUAAGUCAUCUUAAAUGGUUUCGUUCCAUCUCCCCUUAUAUCUCCUUAUAUAUAAAAUGCUCCAUCUGAUCUUCAAUCAACCCUAAUUGAAAAACUUCAUUGAAGAAGCUACAACUACUUCCAUGAAAUCCACCGGUGAGUCUUCCUUCACUACCAGCAUGUCUACAGUUGCCACGGCGACCAGCCGAAUCUGGACUCCAUUUUCGGUUAGUCAAUUUUUGGGAGGCCAGAAACUUUGCUAAAGACCGGACUUAGAGCUCCUCCUCAUCCAUGAACAGGAGACUGUGCUGCAAGGAUUCGUCUCCUCUAAUUGUGACGUUAAUUGCCUCAUCUCAAAGCAGGGACAACCUACAGAUUUCUAAAUUUUUACGCUACCAAUAGCAACGAGAUUAUGGAGUUUCCGAUAAGAGUUUAACAGUUUCUUUCUCGCACAACUCUGUUCUCAGUGUCAUCGACGCCAUCCGCCUCUCUAUUGUUAUUGACGCAUAAAGGUUCAGGUUCCACACACAUGAAAAUUUCUAAGCUAACUGUGGUCUCAGGGGUAACCUCUACGAUGUUGUUGGUCACUUGAGCUGGUAAAUAGCCAGUCUCUAAUUGACUUUCCUGUCUUUGACGAAGUGGAGAUAGCAACCACACGUCAUUUUUUUGGUUCAUUUGCAAUCAAAAGAUGGUCUUGUUAUGAAGAUGUAUCUUUGGGACUAGGCUUCAAAAGAUUUCUACAAAACAGUGAAAAACUCCCAUCAUGUUUUUAGUGACGAAAGUAAACCCAAAACGUCUUGCCGAAACCUUGAUUUUAUUAGCAACAAGGCCGACAUAUCUUUUGCAAAUGAGAGGGUUUCAGUCUUCAAUAGACGCUGAAGAAGAGAGCAGACAGAUUUCGAAGUUGCAGCGUAAAGUCAUGCCCAUGGCCAGGCUUGCAGCUUAAUCAUCCCCAACAUCGUUUAAUGUUGAUCGGAAUAUUGUGUUGUUGUGAUGGCUAAGCCUAGACAUCAUAGCUUUUCCAGAACUCUAUGGAACUUGCAUAUGGAAACAACGAGAUGUCCCUCAACUGUUUAUGCCUGAUUUAUCAGGAAGCACGAGUGCUUCUAUUUGACCUUCCAAUCCUAAUGCUUCAGAAUUCAGAUGCUAAGUUAGUGCUUAACUCCUACAUACAAACAGGGGAGACGUUUCAUCUUGAGUUUAUGCGUGAUUGGGUUAUAUGAUUAUUUUCUUAUAUAUGUUUUCUCUGUGGUUUUGAAUUUCUUAGAGCUCAUAAAAUCAUGUUCUAAUUCAGAUAUGACUCUCUUCUCUCUCUCUAUUUGCAGCUACAACAUCUAGCAUCCGAGGAGAAGAAAAAGAAGAGCAAAGGGGAUACCUUUCUUAGCAUGUUCUUUGAAUCUUCGUUAUUUUUCCAGAUUUCACACAUACAUCGGGCAUAUCAUAUAGAUAUUUGGUGAUGCAAUUGGCAAAGGAAAACAAGUUGCUAAAACGGAAAUUAAGAAGAUAAAAUUAUAUGAGAUAACAUGCAAAUAAGGUGUUAUUUGAAGUGGGGAAAAUGAAGUAGUACGUGGUUCUCAUAUACCUGACUUUUGUUGUAAACUAUUGUGGUUUUCUUGAAGACUGAUGAUUUAAGACGAAUCUUGAUACUUUGAUAGUGAAACAGAGCGAGGAGAUGCUAUAAGGUUUUGUCAAUGUGAUAAAAACAUAUGCAAGGAGCACAUCAGAUAUGAGUCAUGCACGGUUGAAAGAGUCAAGGGCAGAGGAAGAAAAUGAGCUAGAGAAUACAACAAAUAAAGUGUUCAAGAAAGUGAGAGAAAAAUCUAAGAACAUAUAAAAAAAGUCUUACCAAACAUGGUGGUCAUUACCACUAUCAUACCAACCCCAUUUAACCUGAGCCAAUUACGGGAUACCUUUUAUGGACAUGAGUUGACGGAUACUUCGGAGUUGGUGAUAUGUUAACUUUUAUAUAUUUUUCCAAAUAUUUCGAGUAUCAAGUUUGAUAUAAGAAGAUUUAAUCCUUUUACCAGUUAUUUCAUUGUUUUGUAAAAUGGAAGCUCAUAUCCAGGUGUUCAAGUUUGAAAGAAGAGUAGACUUGGGUAUC
Long non-coding RNA from Brassica napus (rape), 3087 nucleotides. RefSeq lists it as uncharacterized. The record is from RefSeq and is a predicted model, not a curated record. The transcript has 10 exons. Lineage: Eukaryota; Viridiplantae; Streptophyta; Magnoliopsida; Brassicales; Brassicaceae.